CACGUAGGGUGCGAGCGUUUGUCCGGAAUUAUUGGGCGUAAAGAGCUCGUAGGCGGUGUGUCGCGUCGGCCGUGAAAACCUGCAGCUUAACUGUGGGCUUGCGGUCGAUACGGGCAUCACUGGAGUUCGGCAGGGGAGACUGGAAUUCCUGGUGUAGCGGUGGAAUGCGCAGAUAUCAGGAGGAACACCGGUGGCGAAGGCGGGUCUCUGGGCAGUAACUGACGCUGAGGAGCGAAAGCGUGGGGAGCGAACAGG
RNAcentral lists this ribosomal RNA (255 nucleotides) under uncultured bacterium. RNAcentral's name for it is "partial 16S ribosomal RNA". It matches the Rfam family "Bacterial small subunit ribosomal RNA", at positions 524 to 776 of the family's 1533-position model. The record is from RNAcentral.